RNAcentral lists this unclassified non-coding RNA (357 nucleotides) under Hevea brasiliensis (rubber tree). Lineage: Eukaryota; Viridiplantae; Streptophyta; Magnoliopsida; Malpighiales; Euphorbiaceae. The record is from RNAcentral.
AAGCUUCUUCAAGAUAUUGGGCUAUGGCUAUCACAGAGAAUCAAGGAUCAUUUUUCGAAAGAACAUAAGAUGACCAUAAACCUAAAAUAUAUUGAUCCAACUUAUAUGAUCCGAGCUAUUCCAAGUAAUGCCUCAGACAAUGUUUAUUGCACUCUGCUUGCUCAAAGUGCUGUACAUGGAGCCAUGGCUGGCUAUACUGGCUAUACUAGCGGCCUUGUUAACGGAAGACAGACAUACAUUCCAUUCUAUCGAAUUACAGAGAAACAGAACAAGGUUGUGAUAACCGACAGAAUGUGGGCAAGGCUUCUAUCAUCGACGAACCAGCCUAGCUUUCUGAUUGGGAAAGACGUAGUGGAG